CUUUCCGCCUAGUGAGAGGCGGUCCGAUUUGGCCCUUGGGGAGUGUCCGUCGCGUUGAUCUGAUGGAUUCACGUACACAACACCACAUUCUAUGAGAUUUUGCAGGCAAAAGUCCACAAGCUCGAUAUAUGGGACACCUGCACCGGCAUUGGAUUUGGCCCCGCAACAUCUUAAAGGAACAACCUAAUACAUACCCCUUGUCUGCCUGAUCCCUGGGGAACAUGCUGUCCUGUGAUGCUGAAGCCUGCAGCUGGUGAACUCAUGGUGAACUCGUGGCCCACCUUUGGAUUCAGACAAAUCUCCCAGGGAGUAUUGGCCACCUCCCCUGGCAGACUCAGUACCCCUGGCCCCUGCUGUGGGGUUACCUUGUCUUGGUUGUGGCAGGCCUACUGGCUGUUAGUUCAGCAUCAUCCUUCAAGAGAACAGAAAGGCUUAGAAUAAUUGAUUGUCAUAUCUGUGUCUGACCAUGCUAUUGUGGACUUGGCCUGAACAGCCAUAGAAAUGCAAGGAAUGAGGUUUGAGGGACUUGGGCAGUUGUCUCAAAAAGGGAGUCAAGGCAGAAAUCCCUUACCCUGAGCACUGCUCUCAACAUGGAGGAAGCAGGCUGUGAGCCAAGGGGAAGGCAGAGGACAGAAAUGAAUGUGUUUCCAGGCUUUCCUGGUGGUUUAUGGCAUUCUCCAAACUCCUAUGCAAGGGCUAUUCCUGA
RNAcentral lists this long non-coding RNA (706 nucleotides) under Homo sapiens (human). RNAcentral describes it as "non-protein coding lnc-DUSP16-4:1". The record is from RNAcentral. Lineage: Eukaryota; Metazoa; Chordata; Mammalia; Primates; Hominidae.